Molecule: long non-coding RNA, 993 nt
Organism: Saimiri boliviensis boliviensis (Bolivian squirrel monkey)
Lineage: Eukaryota; Metazoa; Chordata; Mammalia; Primates; Cebidae
Source: RefSeq, a predicted model, not a curated record
AGAGAAGGGGCGGCCCCGCACCAGCGCGCCUUUAAAGGGACCGCAGACCACUGGGCGGAGCGGGGACGGGGCGGGGGCGGGGCGAUUCCAAGUGGCAGGAAGGAAGACCAGAGGGAACCCCCGACGGACAGAGGGGUAGGGUAGGUGCGGGGCGACGUCUGCGCGACUGUGGAUCUGGGGGCAUCUUCACUGGGAGCAGCUGCAGGAUUCCGCAGAGGAGCGCCUCGGUACAGUAGAGUUCAGAGGGCGCAUUUCUGCUGGGGGCCCUCGGCCUUCAACCCUGCGUCCUACCCCGGGGAUCACUUCCCCCAACACCAGGUCCGCGCCACCCCCCGCAUCCCCACGCUCCAGGAGAGGGAGCAGGUCGGAGGAAAAGGCUUGGGAACUGGCUGGAUGGGGUCGGAGAAGGGCCCCUCCGUCUAGGCGUCCGCCCGCCACCCUCCCGCUGAUCGCGCAGACUGCCAGCCGUGCUCCUCCGCCCUUCCAUUCUCCGCUGGGCGCCACCCUCCGCCCCCUCUAGAGCCGAGCUCCACGCGGAUCCGGAAUGCCCCACGCGCACUCCCGCAGCUGCGCCUGGUCCCAUGGCUGGACCGCAGGAAGUCGCCAGCGCAGAGCUGUCCACGUGCGACUUCCGCUCUGAUUGGAUUUCCCCUCCCUUCGCAGCCCUGUCGGGUGCAGUUUGAAGAAUCAGCAAAAUCUUUCUUCAGUUUCCUCUCCCUAUGGAAACCCCACUCUAUGCCAAAGGUCUAGUCCAAAUAUCAGGCCCUCCAGAGCAUUCCCAGAAUCAUCCAGACCUCGCUCAUGGCUCCUUCCCUGGGAUCCCACAAGAAGUCACUUGUGCCUCUGACAUUCGAUCAUCCUCACAGAUGGAAUCAGCAGCUCUGCAGAACCUCAGAUUCGGGGAGGCAUCGACGUCAGCAGCUCUGCCCAGUGUAGAAUGAACUGGAGUCACUGGGCGCGGCGGCUCACACCUGUAAUCCUAGCACUUUGGGA